CCAAAACCCUGUAUUUAAAAUACUUGGCAAUUUAAAAAAUAUAUUUUAUUAGCAGAAAAUAAUUAUUUUAACAAAUAUGUUUCUAUGUUUUGGCAUGUUAAUCAUUGCUAAUAUUUUUGAACCCAGGCAAACUUAUUCAUUAGCUCUUACAGUGUUUAUUAGUCUAAUCUCUCCACAGAGUUGUUAAUUACUUACGCUACAAAUCUCCCGUACAGUAAUGGUGGCCUUAAUUUUUGUUUUGUAUUUCUGCUUUUAGAGUGUAUAUAAGUAAACAUUAAACUUCUUGUAUAAAUUUUGGUGAAAGCUGUUCUGUCACCUUCAGAGAAAAAUUAUAAUAUAUAAAAAUCUUUUUGAGUGUAUAGAGAAUGAUAAAUAUUUUUGUUUGGUUUUGUUCUUCCCUUUUCUUCUUCCCACCUUUAACCUUCAUUUUGCUGUUUGAAAUGAGUGGAAUUCUGAAUUCUUCUAAGAGUAGGGUGAUAACAGCAUAAGUCUGUGCAGUGUUGAGAGAGCGUGUGGAGAAAAUUGGUAGUGAAGAGAGGGAUUUUUCAUUUGGGUUGUCAUUAUUUAACUUUUUUCAUAGCCUUUUCUCUUUCUAAACCAUGGCUGCUAGAACUUUGGAAGUUGCUGUGAGAUUCUGUCAGCAUUGCUUCCCUGCUUUGCACCCAGUUGAGAGUUUUUCUUCAAGACUCCAAGGAACUUAAAGAAAAGCAGAGGUUAUUUGCUAAAUAAGAUAGAAAUGGCUGCAGGUGGAGAAAGGAAAAGUUUUGUGAGAUAAGAAAAGAAAUAAAAUUUCAGCACACUUGAUUAACAGCAACAUAUCAAAGAAGCAGUGACAUAACUGGCUGUAUGCCAGUAGUUGGUUCAUGCACAGUUCACUUUAUUGGCGAUCAGAUCCACCUUUGCUAUUUCUGAUCACAAUGCUUAUGUGCUAUCCAGAAUUCUCUGCAUUACAGUCCCUGAAGAAAUGAAACAGCGGAACAGCAACAAUGACAGAAAUGGGAGAUAAGGGCAGCCUGACACUGCAAUCUUGUUAAGCUCCACAGAAGAGGCAUAAUUUCCUACCUACCAGCUUCCGCUAUCCGUGUACCAGACUUCUGUAUCAGUAUGGCCUUAUUUAAUCCUUUUUCCUUAAGGGUUUUUUUUUUGUUUUGUCUUUUUUUUUUUUUUUUUUUUUUUUUUCCUGCUUACACUGGGUUUUCCGACAUAGUAAAGCUGUAGUGUGUUCCCAUCAGAAUCUGUCCUGCUUUUGUUUCUUAGACUGAACAAGGGAUUGAUGUGUGCUCCAGUCCCCUGAUCACCUUGGCAGACCACUGCUGGACAUGCUCCAGUGGUUUUCCUAUGCUAGUGAGCUCAAAAUAGGACACAGUGCUCCAAAAGUGGUCUCUCUCAAAGCACUGAAAACAGGAAGGGUUGCUUUCUUGAACUUGCUUGCUGCUGUCCAGUAAAGCUUGAUAUACAAUUAGUUACCUUAACUGUAAAGACACUGUGCUCCUUAUCUGUCUUGUCUUCUGCAGUAUGCUGCAGCGCUGCCUUUCUGCAGGUCCUGAUAAUAGAACUGGGGAAGUGUAAGGCAGGAAGCAGACCUUAAUCCUCGAGAAAAAAAACCUUAAAACAAACAAAUGAAAACUACUGAGUACCUCAAUCUUUCCCAUGUAAUUUGUACUCUCUCUUAUUCAAUGGUGAGCUCCUAUUUUUCACCAUCCCUGAAUAUACCUAUAGAAAUCCUUUUUGCUGCAAUGCUCAUCCUUGUGUACUUUCCUAGUGUCCCUACAGUCUUCCAAAAGUUUCUUCCAUGAGCUUCGUUAGUCACCCUGAGCUCAGGCAGGGUCCGCCUGCUCAACCCUCUGUGUCACCUGCUUGGUGUUUGGUGUUUUUCCAGGCCUGCUUCAGAGAAGUUAUCCUAGGGAAGCAGCUUGGGGGCCUGACCCAAGCAGGGGGCAGUCUCUCACUGGGUGCAGGUAGAUUCCUAAGUGAGCUUUAACCUGAUUUCCAGAAGCUCAGAGUUAUAACUCUGUUACCUUGCUCACUACUUGAAGCACUUUACCACACAAUAUCAGGAUCACUCAGACAGGCCUAUUCUUAGCUGUGCCCAUCUUGAGGUCUUGUCUUUGAGGCUCAGGUCCCUCAGAGCAUUGCCUGCCAUCCACUCACUGCUCACCUGCAUCUUUGUACCUGUAUGUCUGAUGUAAGCUGUAAGCUAUAUAGGGGAAGGUUUUGUAUUGUAACACAACUCACCAUAAUAAUGGAUUUAAACUAGCAUUUGUAGUGUGAGUAAUGGAAGAACUUAUCACUGAACAGCAAAAUAAGUUGCUUAAAAGACAAUGGCAACAUGCAGUCUGUUGUUCUGUGCUAGGUGAAUUUUUAGAAAAUGUAACUUUUCCACUAUUUUCAAGGACAGUCAACUGAUUUCAACAAAGUUUUUAGAAUAUGAAAAGGGUCAGGAUGCAGGCAAAUACCCUUGAAUCAGUAAUGCAGCCUGACUGGAUAAGCAGCUGGAAAGGAUGUUUGUAGAAGAAAUGACAGGCCUGAAACUUUUACAGGCAAAGGAAUUUCCUUUGUUCCUGAGGAAUCAUAGAAUCAUAGAAUCACCAAGGUUGGAAAAGACCUAAAAGAU
Long non-coding RNA from Centrocercus urophasianus (Greater sage-grouse), 2614 nucleotides. RefSeq lists it as uncharacterized. The transcript has 3 exons. The record is from RefSeq and is a predicted model, not a curated record. NCBI's taxonomy places the organism in Eukaryota, Metazoa, Chordata, Aves, Galliformes, Phasianidae.